UGGUGGAGUGAUUUGUUUGGUUGAUUCCGUGAACGAACGAGAUCUCGUCCUCUUAAUGGGGGCAGCAUCACUUACGGUCGAUCUCCCCUCCGGGGUGUUCGAUCGAUGCUGGCUCGUCCUUAGAGGAACACCGCAUAUACACCAGUGCGAUGGAGCGAGCCAAUAGCA
RNAcentral lists this ribosomal RNA (168 nucleotides) under uncultured eukaryote. Its description in RNAcentral is "partial 18S ribosomal RNA". It matches the Rfam family "Eukaryotic small subunit ribosomal RNA", at positions 1299 to 1458 of the family's 1831-position model. The record is from RNAcentral.